UAACAACAGAUGAUGCCUAUCAACUGUUUUAAAAGAUGGUUCUGCUAUCACUCUUGGAUGGACCUGCGGUGCAUUAGCUAGUUGGUAGGGGUAACGGGCCUACCAAGGCGAUGAUACAUAGCCCGAGUUGAGAGACUGAUCGGCCACAUUGGGGACUGAGACACGGGCCCAAACUCCUACGGGAGGCAGCAGUAGGGAAUCUUCCACAAUGGACGCAAGUCUGAUGGAGCAAACGCCGCGUGAGUGAAGAAGGGUUUUCGGCUCGUAAAAAGCUCUGUUGUUGGUGAAGAAGGACAGGGGUAGUAACUGACCCUUUGUUUGACGGUAAUCAAUUAGAAAGUCACGGGCUAACUACGUGCCAGCAGCCGCGGUAAAU
This 376-nucleotide ribosomal RNA is filed under the name uncultured Lactobacillus sp. Its description in RNAcentral is "bacterial SSU rRNA". It matches the Rfam family "Bacterial small subunit ribosomal RNA", at positions 172 to 525 of the family's 1533-position model. The record is from RNAcentral. Lineage: Bacteria; Bacillati; Bacillota; Bacilli; Lactobacillales; Lactobacillaceae.